AAAUUGGGGGGGGGCUAAAACAUGCAAGUCGAGCGGACAGAUGGGAGCUUGCUCCCUGAUGUUAGCGGCGGACGGGUGAGUAACACGUGGGUAACCUGCCUGUAAGACUGGGAUAACUCCGGGAAACCGGGGCUAAUACCGGAUGGUUGUUUGAACCGCAUGGUUCAAACAUAAAAGGUGGCUUCGGCUACCACUUACAGAUGGACCCGCGGCGCAUUAGCUAGUUGGUGAGGUAACGGCUCACCAAGGCAACGAUGCGUAGCCGACCUGAGAGGGUGAUCGGCCACACUGGGACUGAGACACGGCCCAGACUCCUACGGGAGGCAGCAGUAGGGAAUCUUCCGCAAUGGACGAAAGUCUGACGGAGCAACGCCGCGUGAGUGAUGAAGGUUUUCGGAUCGUAAAGCUCUGUUGUUAGGGAAGAACAAGUACCGUUCGAAUAGGGCGGUACCUUGACGGUACCUAACCAGAAAGCCACGGCUAACUACGUGCCAGCAGCCGCGGUAAUACGUAGGUGGCAAGCGUUGUCCGGAAUUAUUGGGCGUAAAGGGCUCGCAGGCGGUUUCUUAAGUCUGAUGUGAAAGCCCCCGGCUCAACCGGGGAGGGUCAUUGGAAACUGGGGAACUUGAGUGCAGAAGAGGAGAGUGGAAUUCCACGUGUAGCGGUGAAAUGCGUAGAGAUGUGGAGGAACACCAGUGGCGAAGGCGACUCUCUGGUCUGUAACUGACGCUGAGGAGCGAAAGCGUGGGGAGCGAACAGGAUUAGAUACCCUGGUAGUCCACGCCGUAAACGAUGAGUGCUAAGUGUUAGGGGGUUUCCGCCCCUUAGUGCUGCAGCUAACGCAUUAAGCACUCCGCCUGGGGAGUACGGUCGCAAGACUGAAACUCAAAGGAAAUGACGGGGGCCCGCACAAGCGGUGGAGCAUGGUGGUUUAAUUCGAAGCAACGCGAGAACCUUACCAGGUCUUGACAUCCUCUGACAUCCUAGAGAUAGGACGUCCCCUUCGGGGGCAGAGUGAACAGUGUGCAUGAUGUCGUCAGCUCGUGUCGUGAGAUGUGGAUAGUCCCGCAACCGAGCGCACCUUGAUCUUAGUUGCAG
RNAcentral lists this ribosomal RNA (1098 nucleotides) under Bacillus subtilis. Its description in RNAcentral is "bacterial SSU rRNA". It matches the Rfam family "Bacterial small subunit ribosomal RNA", at positions 33 to 1120 of the family's 1533-position model. Lineage: Bacteria; Bacillati; Bacillota; Bacilli; Caryophanales; Bacillaceae. The record is from RNAcentral.